UACGUAGGGAGCGAGCGUUGUCCGGAAUUACUGGGCGUAAAGGGUGCGUAGGUGGCCUCGCAAGUCAGAUGUGAAAUCCCCGGGCUUAACUCGGGGGGUGCAUUUGAAACUGCGUGGCUUGAGUGCAGGAGAGGAAAGCGGAAUUCCUAGUGUAGCGGUGAAAUGCGUAGAUGUUAGGAGGAACACCAGUGGCGAAGGCGGCUUUCUGGACUGUAACUGACACUGAGGCACGAAAGCGUGGGGAGCAAAC
RNAcentral lists this ribosomal RNA (250 nucleotides) under uncultured bacterium. RNAcentral's name for it is "partial 16S ribosomal RNA". It matches the Rfam family "Bacterial small subunit ribosomal RNA", at positions 524 to 773 of the family's 1533-position model. The record is from RNAcentral.